CCUACGGGUGGCAGCAGUCGAGAAUUUUUCUCAAUGGGGGCAACCCUGAAGGAGCGACGCCGCGUGGGGGAUGAAUGGCUUCGGCCCGUAAACCCCUGUCAUCCGCGAGCAAUACCUCCAACUGAAUAGGGUGGAGGUUGAUAGUAGUGGAAGAGGAAGGGACGGCUAACUCUGUGCCAGCAGCCGCGGUAAUACAGAGGUCCCAAGCGUUGUUCGGAAUUACUGGGCGUAAAGGGUGCGUAGGCGGCCAAAAUAGUCCGAUGUGAAAUCUUGAAGCUCAACUUCGAAACUGCAUUGGAUACUGGUUGGCUAGAGAUGUGAAGGGGAGCAUGGAAUUCUCGGUGUAGCAGUGAAAUGCGUAGAUAUCGAGAGGAACACCAGUGGCGAAAGCGAUUCUCUGGACACAUUCUGACGCUGAGGCACGAAAGCCAAGGGAGCAAACGGGAUUAGAUACCCCAGUAGUC
This 464-nucleotide ribosomal RNA is filed under the name uncultured bacterium. RNAcentral describes it as "bacterial SSU rRNA". It matches the Rfam family "Bacterial small subunit ribosomal RNA", at positions 338 to 795 of the family's 1533-position model. The record is from RNAcentral.